Molecule: non-coding RNA, 2596 nt
Organism: Lactuca sativa (garden lettuce)
Lineage: Eukaryota; Viridiplantae; Streptophyta; Magnoliopsida; Asterales; Asteraceae
Source: RefSeq, a predicted model, not a curated record
UUUGGUUGUUUGUGGGUUUUGUCGAUUUUUGUCCUUAGUCAAAUAAUAUAUGCAUCCUAGUCAUUAUAUAUGGUUAAUGGUGGUGGGGGUGGUUGAAGAGUCUUACUCACAUGUGCGUGUACGCUUCUCCUUCACCACUGUUUUCUUCUCUAAUAGAAGGCUUACACAACUCCACCGUCAUACAUUUCUCAAUGGACUUCUCCAUUUUUGCUUCCUUUUACUUCCGCCCGCGUCAAAUUUCGGAGUACCCACCGGGGUUACUUUAAUCAGUCCAUUUAUCCACCGCCUUCAUCUCCUAUCGCUUCCAUUGCUUCAAAUCACUGAUUGUUUCCCUCUCCUUCUAUCACGUCCCUCUUCCUAUAUACUCCCGAGGUUCGGUCUUCAAUCGACAAACUCUCAAUCUUUGAAAACCAUUUGGCAUGGAGGAUCCACUGACGCUUCACAUUUGUUCGUUUGAAGGUAUUAUGACUGGAGUCGUCACCGCUCUGCUCAACAUCAUCUACCGCAACAUCCAUCCAUCCGGCUUCGAUUUGUGUUUCGACGCUAUCUCCACCGAUAUUUCCACUUGCUUUGUCGGUUAAGGUGGUCGGUUAGUGUCGUCAUGGUUGUUAAUUUUCUGUUUUUAUCUCCUUCAGUGACGGCGAUGGAGAUAGUGGAUAUAGGGUUCCUUUGUUCCGAUGGUCGGCCACCAUGUUCAGGUUUUAAAGAAAUUGUUGGUUUGAAAGGGAGCAAAACAGAUAUAUGGAAUGAAUAUUGUGGCCAAACAACAGGAUUUAAACAAUUAUUGGUUCAUGAAAGAUGUGCUUGAUGAGGUGAGUAUAUAAAGCUUACCGAGUAUCAAUUGGCUGAGCUUUUUUACGUGUUUACCUUUGAUUCAACUUCAAGAAAUCUCGGAGUUGUGUAUGAAGCACUUGGUUGCAGGUAUAACACCACAUAAGGUCCCCAUUUCACUAACCCACUUGAGAACACUUGAUCUCGGUUUGUGGUUCCUUCACUUUUCGUAUGUUCUAUCAAUGACGAGCAACUCUAAAAAUUUAUAGGAGACCAAAGUGGAGGUAAAUAUCAACUACAUUUUAUUACAUAUAGAUAUUAUCAGUUACAUUUUAUCACAUCAUCAUGAUUUUACUUACAAUUUUGACAAAAACAAGAAACUAUACAAGGAAAGGUAUAUAGAUAUUAUCAUUAAACCUAAGUUAUGCUUGUUGGCCUCAUAGUCGUAUGUCCUUUGUCAAAUUUCUUUUCUUUAUUCAUAUUUACUUUUUUACCCUUCGUCUCAUGCACCACAGAAGUAGUUGGUUUGACGGACGCUUCGAUUAUAUCCACACAUUUCAGGGCAGAAAGAGAGUUAAUAUCAGUCUUUCUCGGCUAAAUAUAUGAGUCUGUAACAUACAAACUCGAUUCAUUUGUGAGGGAAAGGGUGUCGUACUAGUAGAAGGUUUUGAUCAGAUGCAGUCCUUCUGUUGCUGAUGGAUAUUGGUCUUCAUCAAUGCGUAUAUGUACAUCAAAUUUUAAUUACGUAAGCAUCUAUGUCCAAACUUAGCUUACUACUCCAAUGAAGGUUCGAUUACUUUCUUUAUUUUGUUUAAAACGACCAAAUAUUGAAAGAAUUUGGUAUCUUUGAGUCAGUAUAAACAAUUUUUUUCUAUCAUCAGACGAAUAUUGACUUGAUGAAGAAUCUUGGAAUAGAUGCUUAUUGAUUCUCAAUAUUACAGUCAAGUAUAUUCCCAAGUAAGUUUACUAAUCACCUUAAUGAUUCUAUAAUAAUGUAGUAUAUUGUCGAUUCCUUUGAAUGUGAUAAAUAAACUAACAUCUAUUUCAAUGUUAAUAGAUGGUACAGACAAACCGAGAAUGUAUCCAAAAAAGGAACCAACACAGUCAACAACACCAUUUGACUAUGCCCAAUAAAGGGAUAUAUAACAUAUCAUGAAAUAUUGAAGGCUUCUAACCCGCGCAACCCGGGGAUUUGUAGCGGAUCCACAAUGUCGUAAUGGGAGGCGUUGGAUACUCUCCUUCCAAUUGUACCAUGACAUAAUUAUUGGUGUACACAAGUGCAAAUGUAAGGACCCCAGUGAUUUUAAAACUCUCUAAAGAGGGAAAAAAUUAUAGGGCCUUCAAUGGUCAAAAUUUGAACGAUCACACCAAACAAAACUUGUUGGCUAUCGAGAUGCUUGUCUCUGACAUAAGCAUCCAAUGUUUUGUUGGUUAUGACUUAGUCUUCAUAAAAAAAGACAGUUAAGUAACUACUUCAUCACAUCCAACGAAAACUCUAGCGUAGUCUUCAUAUGAACUCAAUAACUCGUCCAACAAUUGUUGAAGAAUGUAAAGACACUGAUCUUCACCAUAUCAAGACAAAUGACUACUGAUCGAAAACCACAAUUUACAUCACCCAAUACAUUUUGUAUAUGUGCGAUGUAUGGAUGAAAUAUAAAUGGAAUUUCCUCUAACAAUGCUCUAUUGGUUCCUCCUAUAAGUCAAUGUAGUAUGAUCUUCACCAUAUUCAAGUCAAUCUUGUAUGAACAUUAACCUAUCAGAUCCCCAUUCAAGUCUGCCUGGUAUGAACAUUGUUAAAUUGGUUCCUCCUAUAAGUUUAUGUUGU